Molecule: ribosomal RNA, 253 nt
Filed under: uncultured bacterium
Lineage: Bacteria
Description: partial 16S ribosomal RNA
Rfam family: Bacterial small subunit ribosomal RNA
Source: RNAcentral
UACGGAGGAUCCAAGCGUUAUCCGGAAUCAUUGGGUUUAAAGGGUCCGUAGGCGGUUUAGUAAGUCAGUGGUGAAAGCCCAUCGCUCAACGGUGGAACGGCCAUUGAUACUGCUGAACUUGAAUUAUUAGGAAGUAACUAGAAUAUGUAGUGUAGCGGUGAAAUGCUUAGAUAUUACAUGGAAUACCAAUUGCGAAGGCAGGUUACUACUAAUUGAUUGACGCUGAUGGACGAAAGCGUGGGGAGCGAACAGG